CUAGCGGCGUGGAUAAGACAUGCAAGUCGAGCGGAGCUUUCCCCGGUAGCAAUACUGGGAAAGUCGAGCGGCAAACGGGUGAGUAACACGUGAGCAACCUGCCGGGAAGUGGGGGAUAGCUCGCCGAAAGGCGAAUUAAUACCGCAUAUGGCCAGAAGCGACAUCGCUUCGACGCCAAAGCAGCAAUGCGCUUCCCGAUGGGCUCGCGGCCUAUCAGCUUGUUGGUGAGGUAACGGCUCACCAAGGCAUCGACGGGUAACUGGUUUGAGAGGAUGAUCAGUCACACUGGAACUGAGACACGGUCCAGACACCUACGGGUGGCAGCAGUCGAGAAUCAUUCACAAUGGGCGCAAGCCUGAUGGUGCGACGCCGCGUGGAGGAUGAAGGUUUUCGGAUCGUAAACUCCUGUCAUCUGGGAACAAAGCUCUUCGAGCCUGAUAGUACCAGAAGAGGAAGAGACGGCUAACUCUGUGCCAGCAGCCGCGGUAAUACAAAGGUCUCGAGCGUUGUUCGGAUUCAUUGGGCGUAAAGGGUGCGUAGGCGGCGCCGUAAGUCGGAUGUGAAAGCCCGGGGCUCAACCCCGGAAUUGCAUUCGAUACUGCGGUGCUAGAGGACUGGAGAGGAGACUGGAAUUCACAGUGUAGCAGUGAAAUGCGUAGAUAUUGUGAGGAAGGCCAGUGGCGAAGGCGGGUCUCUGGACAGUUCCUGACGCUGAGGCACGAAGGCUAGGGUAGCGAACGGGAUUAGAUACCCCGGUAGUCCUAGCAGUAAACGGUGCACGUUUGGUGUGGGAGGAUUCGACCCCUUCCGUGCCGGAGCUAACGCGUUAAACGUGCCGCCUGGGGAGUACGGCCGCAAGGUUAAAACUCAAAGAAAUUGACGGGGGCCCGCACAAGCGGUGGAGUAUGUGGCUUAAUUCGAUGCAACGCGAAGAACCUUACCUGGCCUUGACAUGCAGGGAUUAACUGGGUGAAAGCCCGGGGAUUGCCCUUUGGGUGUAACCUGCACAGGUGCUGCAUGGCUGUCGUCAGCUCGUGUCGUGAGAUGUUGGGUUAAGUCCCGCAACGAGCGCAACCCCUGUGAGCUGUUGCCACCUCGCAAGAGAGCACUCUGCUCAGACUGCCCUGUGAAACGGGGAGGAAGGUGGGGAUGACGUCAAGUCAGUAUGGCCCUUACGGCCAGGGCUGCACACGUACUACAAUGCCCAGUACAGAAUGAACCGAGACCGCGAGGUGGAGGAAAUCUAUAAAACUGGGCUCAGUUCGGAUCGCAGGCUGCAACUCGCCUGCGUGAAGCCGGAAUCGCUAGUAAUGGCGCAUCAGCUACGGCGCCGUGAAUACGUUCCCGGGCCUUGUACACACCGCCCGUCACAUCAUGGAAGUCACUUGUAGCCGAAGUGCGUGUGCCAAC
Molecule: ribosomal RNA, 1410 nt
Filed under: uncultured organism
Description: bacterial SSU rRNA
Rfam family: Bacterial small subunit ribosomal RNA
Source: RNAcentral